GACGAACGCUGGCGGCGUGCUUAACACAUGCAAGUCGAACGGAAAGGCCCCUUUGGGGGUACUCGAGUGGCGAACGGGUGAGUAACACGUGAGUAACCUGCCCUUGACUUCGGGAUAACUUCAGGAAACUGGGGCUAAUACCGGAUAGGAAUCCUUGCUGCAUGGUGGGGGUUGGAAAGCUUCGGCGGUUUUGGAUGGACUCGCGGCUUAUCAGCUUGUUGGUGGGGUAGUGGCUUACCAAGGCUUUGACGGGUAGCCGGCCUGAGAGGGCGACCGGCCACAUUGGGACUGAGAUACGGCCCAGACUCCUACGGGAGGCAGCAGUGGGGAAUAUUGCACAAUGGGCGGAAGCCUGAUGCAGCAACGCCGCGUGCGGGAUGACGGCCUUCGGGUUGUAAACCGCUUUCAGCAGGGGCGAAGCUUGUGGUGACGGUACCUGAAGAAGAAGCACCGGCUAACUACGUG
RNAcentral lists this ribosomal RNA (465 nucleotides) under uncultured bacterium. RNAcentral's name for it is "partial 16S ribosomal RNA". It matches the Rfam family "Bacterial small subunit ribosomal RNA", at positions 28 to 507 of the family's 1533-position model. The record is from RNAcentral.